AACGUAGGAGGCGAGCGUUAUCCGGAUUUACUGGGCGUAAAGCGCGUGCAGGCGGAUUGGAGAGUUGGAUGUAAAAGCUCCCGGCUUAACUGGGAGAGGUCGUUCAAUACUUCCAGUCUUGAGUGCAGUAGAGGGAAGUGGAAUUCCGGGUGUAGUGGUGAAAUGCGUAGAUAUCCGGAGGAACACCAGUGGCGAAAGCGGCUUCCUGGACUGUAACUGACGCUCAGACGCGAAAGCUAGGGUAGCAAACGGG
RNAcentral lists this ribosomal RNA (253 nucleotides) under uncultured bacterium. RNAcentral's name for it is "partial 16S ribosomal RNA". It matches the Rfam family "Bacterial small subunit ribosomal RNA", at positions 524 to 776 of the family's 1533-position model. The record is from RNAcentral.